UGCCAGCANHMGCGGUUAUACUUAAUACUUCAAUUUAUUAUAAUAGGUUAAAACAUUCGUUUAUAAAAAUUUAGUGAUUAGGUGAAAUAUAAUAAAAUUUCAUUCAAUUAAGCAUUUUAUAAAAAAUUUAUAAGAAAAACUAGGAUUAGAGACCCUACUAUUUUUAAAUAUAUAAAUUAACCUAAAUAUUAAAAGCGUUCGUGUUUCAAAUUUAAAGAACAUGGCUAUUAUCUAGUAAUUUUAGGGGAUUCUGCUUUAGUAAACAAUAAUCCGUGAUAAAUUUUUCCUUUAUUAAAAUUUGUAUAUCGCCGUUUUUUUAUAGAUAUAUAAAUAUAUAAAAAAAUACUUAAUAGUUAAAAAUCAGGCCCUGAUAUAGUAAAUAAAGGUUUAAAGUUGAAUACAAUUUUAUGAAUUAAAAGGAAACUUUAAUUAAAUGGGACUUAAUAGUAACAUAAAUUUAAAAUAUUUGUGUGAAAUAUUACUCUAGAAAGGUACAUAUCGCCCGUCGUUCUUUCUUCGUAGAAAGAWAAGUCGUAACAHAGUA
RNAcentral lists this ribosomal RNA (544 nucleotides) under Heteropora sp. AW-2011. RNAcentral's name for it is "partial 12S ribosomal RNA". The record is from RNAcentral. Lineage: Eukaryota; Metazoa; Bryozoa; Stenolaemata; Cyclostomatida; Heteroporidae.